UGAUGCUCUAAAAUCCUAACUUGGGACUGCAUAUGUGAGCCCAUAAACUUUUGUAAUUUGUAAUAUGUCAUUACAAACUACUAAGCUCGGCCGAUAUUUGGCUCGGCCCAAGACCACCUAUAGGCCAGAAGAAAUUGUUCAAUGUGAAUAUGUAUGCAUCCUAAGGUUUUUUGUAAGAAAGUCAGUAUCCUUGAUCAUUAAACUAUAUAAAAAAUGGCUUAAGUUCUAAUAUUUUGAUAAAUAUUUUUAGGUUAUCCUUUUAAAAGGUCUAAAAUAUACUAGACUUCUAUAGAAAAGGGACUCUUGAACUUCCAAAAAAAGAUAGGUUUUUUGUAAGGCAGAUUAGUAUCCUUAAUCCUUAAACUAUAUAAAAGUGGCUCAAGUUUUUGAUAAUAUUUUGU
This 401-nucleotide long non-coding RNA is filed under the name Phoenix dactylifera (date palm). RNAcentral's name for it is "long non-coding RNA (PDAC_LNC002259)". The record is from RNAcentral. Lineage: Eukaryota; Viridiplantae; Streptophyta; Magnoliopsida; Arecales; Arecaceae.